RNAcentral lists this ribosomal RNA (406 nucleotides) under uncultured bacterium. Its description in RNAcentral is "partial 16S ribosomal RNA". It matches the Rfam family "Bacterial small subunit ribosomal RNA", at positions 28 to 526 of the family's 1533-position model. The record is from RNAcentral.
GAUGAACGCUGACAGCAUGCUUAACACAUCAGCAAUUGAUUGGUGGCGGUCGGGUGAGUAACGCGUAAAGAACUUGCCUCCCAGGUAGGGACAACAUUUGGAAACGAAUGCUACUACCUAAUACUGUGAGAGAGCUUUGCGUCCCAUUAGCUAGUUGGAGAGGUAACGGCUCACCAAGGCGGUGAUGGGUAGCCGGCCUGAGAGGGUGAUCGGGCAAUAGGGGACAGAGACACGGCCCUGAAACCUAAGGGAGGCAGCAGUGGGGAAUAUUAGACAAUGGACAAAAGUCUGAUCCAGCAAUGAUGUGUGAAAGAUGAAGUUUUCGGAAUGUAAAGUGCUUGCCGUUGGGAAGCGGUACCAACAGAAGAAGUGACGGCUAAAUACGUGCCAGCAGCCGCGGUAAUUC